AGUGAACGCUGGCGGCGUGCCUAAUACAUGCAAGUCGAACGAACGAAUAAGAGCUUGCUCUUAUAAGUUAGUGGCGCACGGGUGAGUAAUAUAUAGCUAAUCUGCCUCUUAGUAGAGGAUAACAGUCGGAAACGAUUGCUAAUACUCUAUACUUCUGCUUUACAUAAGUAAAGUAGAGAAAGUUUUUCGCUAAGAGAUGAGGCUAUACUGUAUCAGCUAGUUGGUAAGGUAACGGCUUACCAAGGCUAUG
This 250-nucleotide ribosomal RNA is filed under the name uncultured bacterium. Its description in RNAcentral is "partial 16S ribosomal RNA". It matches the Rfam family "Bacterial small subunit ribosomal RNA", at positions 29 to 278 of the family's 1533-position model. The record is from RNAcentral.